This 497-nucleotide ribosomal RNA is filed under the name uncultured bacterium. RNAcentral describes it as "partial 16S ribosomal RNA". It matches the Rfam family "Bacterial small subunit ribosomal RNA", at positions 28 to 507 of the family's 1533-position model. The record is from RNAcentral.
GAUGAACGCUGGCGGCGUGCCUAAUACAUGCAAGUCGAGCGAACGGACGAGAAGCUUGCUUCUCUGAUGUUAGCGGCGGACGGUUGAGUAACACGUGGAUAACCUACCUAUAAGACUGGGAUAACUUCGGGAAACCGGAGCUAAUACCGGAUAAUAUUUUGAACCGCAUGGUUCAAAAGUGAAAGACGGUCUUGCUGUCACUUAUAGAUGGAUCCGCGCUGCAUUAGCUAGUUGGUAAGGUAACGGCUUACCAAGGCAACGAUGCAUAGCCGACCUGAGAGGGUGAUCGGCCACACUGGAACUGGGACACGGUCCAGACUCCUACGGGAGGCAGCAGUAGGGAAUCUUCCGCAAUGGGCGAAAGCCUGACGGAGCAACGCCGCGUGAGUGAUGAAGGUCUUCGGAUCGUAAAACUCUGUUAUUAGGGAAGAACAUAUGUGUAAGUAACUGUGCACAUCUUGACGGUACCUAAUCAGAAAGCCACGGCUAACUACGUG